RNAcentral lists this long non-coding RNA (201 nucleotides) under Pan troglodytes (chimpanzee). RNAcentral's name for it is "long non-coding RNA NONPTRT015427". The record is from RNAcentral. Lineage: Eukaryota; Metazoa; Chordata; Mammalia; Primates; Hominidae.
UGAAUGCCGUGUGCUGGAGCCAGGACCGGAGGUGGCUGCUCUCUGCGGCCCGGGAUGGGACCCUGCGGGUGUGGUCGGCUCGUGGGGCAGAGCUCGCACUGCUUCUGAUAUAAACAGAAGAGCAAGUCCAAGCUGAUUUGCAGGCUCUCCACGACAGGUGCAGUAGACAUGACCAGUUUAUCGGCAGUCAACGACUUUUAU